RNAcentral lists this ribosomal RNA (146 nucleotides) under Chironomidae sp. MT-2021. RNAcentral's name for it is "partial 12S ribosomal RNA". Lineage: Eukaryota; Metazoa; Arthropoda; Insecta; Diptera; Chironomidae. The record is from RNAcentral.
CACAAAUAUUAUAAUUAAAUUUUUUUAAUGAAAGUUAAAAUAAAAAAGAUAAAAAAGAAAAAUAAAUUUUUAAGUAAAAUUUAAAUUUUAUUUAAAAUUUUUAUAUAUAAAAUUUUUGAAGCUUAGAAAAUUUAAUUUUUAAACUA